Branchiostoma floridae (Florida lancelet) is the source of this 320-nucleotide long non-coding RNA. RefSeq lists it as uncharacterized. Lineage: Eukaryota; Metazoa; Chordata; Leptocardii; Amphioxiformes; Branchiostomatidae. The transcript has 2 exons. The record is from RefSeq and is a predicted model, not a curated record.
AAUGUUGCAAAAUUUGAUGUGAAGGGAACCUUCAGGCAUUUCUAUAGCAACCUACCAUUGGUCAUGUCAGUUUCCAUAGCAACCUACCACUGGCCAUGUCAGUUUCCAUAGCAACAUACCACUGGUCAUGUCAGUUUCUAUAGCAACCUGAUUACCAGAUAUGUUGGUUUCCAUGGUUAUAAGUUGUCAUUAUGAUUAUAAUCUAAUAGUACUGCUGGUUGCCAUGGUAACCUUCCUUCUUAUGAAAGUGGAAGAAACUUGCCAUACUUUGUUAUUUUGUAAAUAUUUUGUUGUUAAUUAAAUAUAUUAAUGUCAGAGGA